GAUGAAGAACGCAGCGAAAUGCGAUAAGUAAUGUGAAUUGCAGAAUUCAGUGAAUCAUCGAAUCUUUGAACGCACAUUGCGCCCGCCAGCAUUCUGGCGGGCAUGCCUGUCCGAGCGUCAUUUCAACCCUCAGGGUCCCUCCGCCUCGCGCGGUCGGAGCCUGGUGUUGGGGAUCGGCCCGCCCCGCGCGGCGCCGUCCCCCAAAUACAGUGGCGGUCCCGCCGCAGCCUCCCCUGCGCAGUAGUUAUCAACUCGCACUGGAGCGCGGCGCGGCCACGCCGUAAAACCCCCGACCUUUAGAAAGUUGACCUCGGAUCAGGUAGGAAUACCCGCUGAACUUAAGCAUAUCAAUAAGCGGAGGA
RNAcentral lists this unclassified non-coding RNA (362 nucleotides) under soil metagenome. Its description in RNAcentral is "partial contains 5.8S ribosomal RNA, internal transcribed spacer 2, and large subunit ribosomal RNA". The stretch from base 1 to 120 matches the Rfam family "5.8S ribosomal RNA", at positions 35 to 154 of the family's 154-position model. The record is from RNAcentral.